This is a non-coding RNA of Roseovarius sp. TM1035, 87 nucleotides long. NCBI's taxonomy places the organism in Bacteria, Pseudomonadati, Pseudomonadota, Alphaproteobacteria, Rhodobacterales, Roseobacteraceae. The record is from Rfam.
GGAGAGGUGCCGGAGUGGUCGAACGGGGCGGUCUCGAAAACCGUUGUGGGGGCAACCCCACCCAGGGUUCGAAUCCCUGUCUCUCCG